This 1058-nucleotide ribosomal RNA is filed under the name uncultured Cryobacterium sp. RNAcentral's name for it is "bacterial SSU rRNA". It matches the Rfam family "Bacterial small subunit ribosomal RNA", at positions 337 to 1393 of the family's 1533-position model. Lineage: Bacteria; Bacillati; Actinomycetota; Actinomycetes; Micrococcales; Microbacteriaceae. The record is from RNAcentral.
UCCUACGGGAGGCAGCAGUGGGGAAUAUUGCACAAUGGGCGCAAGCCUGAUGCAGCAACGCCGCGUGAGGGACGAAGGCCUUCGGGUUGUAAACCUCUUUUAGUAGGGAAGAAGCGACUGGGUUUUCCUGGGAGUGACGGUACCUGCAGAAAAAGCACCGGCUAACUACGUGCCAGCAGCCGCGGUAAUACGUAGGGUGCAAGCGUUGUCCGGAAUUAUUGGGCGUAAAGAGCUCGUAGGCGGUUUGUCGCGUCUGCUGUGAAAACCCGAGGCUCAACCUCGGGCCUGCAGUGGGUACGGGCAGACUAGAGUGCGGUAGGGGAGAUUGGAAUUCCUGGUGUAGCGGUGGAAUGCGCAGAUAUCAGGAGGAACACCAAUGGCGAAGGCAGAUCUCUGGGCCGUAACUGACGCUGAGGAGCGAAAGCAUGGGGAGCGAACAGGAUUAGAUACCCUGGUAGUCCAUGCCGUAAACGUUGGGAACUAGAUGUGGGGACCAUUCCACGGUCUCCGUGUCGCAGCUAACGCAUUAAGUUCCCCGCCUGGGGAGUACGGCCGCAAGGCUAAAACUCAAAGGAAUUGACGGGGGCCCGCACAAGCGGCGGAGCAUGCGGAUUAAUUCGAUGCAACGCGAAGAACCUUACCAAGGCUUGACAUAUACCGGAAACGGCUGGAAACAGUCGCCCCGCAAGAUCGGUAUACAGGUGGUGCAUGGUUGUCGUCAGCUCGUGUCGUGAGAUGUUGGGUUAAGUCCCGCAACGAGCGCAACCCUCGUCCUAUGUUGCCAGCACGUAAUGGUGGGAACUCAUGGGAUACUGCCGGGGUCAACUCGGAGGAAGGUGGGGAUGACGUCAAAUCAUCAUGCCCCUUAUGUCUUGGGCUUCACGCAUGCUACAAUGGCCGGUACAAAGGGCUGCGAUACCGCAAGGUGGAGCGAAUCCCAAAAAGCCGGUCUCAGUUCGGAUUGAGGUCUGCAACUCGACCUCAUGAAGUCGGAGUCGCUAGUAAUCGCAGAUCAGCAACGCUGCGGUGAAUACGUUCCCGGGCCUUGUACACACCGC